GGAUUUAGUCUCUUUCGCUUUCUCCCAUAUCUCCAAUUCUCAAGCAAUACAGUUCGGUAAUAAGCAAUGAAACAUAAUUAACGAAAACACACUUCUUAUGUUACAGUUGGUUGGACCGGCAUACUAUGGAAAUCGCCGGCGAUGAGAGAGAAUGCUAACAACUUAUUGCGUUACAGGAUCCGUCGCCAUUCUGCCAUACCAAAUAAGUUAUCCGGUGGUUCAUGAACAAUAGGGAAGUUUUCUUAUCGUUUCUAAUGACGAUUAAAGGAGAAAAAUAAAAAUCCAAGAACCAUGUAGGCGGCUUUGUCUUCCACUUCUCUAAUCCUCUCAUUGUAUAUAAUUCUCGUCACAACCUCAGUUCCCGCAAUUCUGUCGUUUAUUACGUCUUCCUCCAUGAAACUCCUAAUUUAGCAGGCCGGUGGAGAAGGGCUUAUAAGAAGAAUUAAGAGAGGCAUCAAAACUCAUUCUUUCUUCAAGGAUCAAUUACAGGAAUUAAAGAAUCAAAUUACGGGCAUAUCCAUUCUUCUGAAUCUACAAGAAGCAUUUU
Molecule: unclassified non-coding RNA, 547 nt
Filed under: Hevea brasiliensis (rubber tree)
Lineage: Eukaryota; Viridiplantae; Streptophyta; Magnoliopsida; Malpighiales; Euphorbiaceae
Source: RNAcentral